RNAcentral lists this ribosomal RNA (396 nucleotides) under uncultured bacterium. RNAcentral's name for it is "partial 16S ribosomal RNA". It matches the Rfam family "Bacterial small subunit ribosomal RNA", at positions 523 to 918 of the family's 1533-position model. The record is from RNAcentral.
AUACGUAGGUGGCAAGCGUUGUCCGGAAUUAUUGGGCGUAAAGCGCAUGUAGGCGGUGCCUUAAGUCUGUCGUGAAACUGCGGGGCCUAACCCCGUAUGGCGAUGGAAACUGGGGUACUUGAGUGCAGGAGAGGAAAGGGGAACUCCCAGUGUAGCGGUGAAAUGCGUAGAUAUUGGGAAGAACACCGGUGGCGAAGGCGCCUUUCUGGACUGUGUCUGACGCUGAGAUGCGAACGCCAGGGUAGCGAACGGGAUUAGAUACCCCGGUAGUCCUGGCCGUAAACGAUGGGUACUAGGUGUGGGAGGUAUCGACCCCUUCCGUGCCGGAGUUAACGCAAUAAGGACCCCGCCUGGGGAGUACGGCCGCAAGGCUUAAACUCAAAUGAAUUGGCGGGG